This 322-nucleotide ribosomal RNA is filed under the name Allapsidae sp. RNAcentral's name for it is "SSU rRNA". The stretch from base 106 to 322 matches the Rfam family "Eukaryotic small subunit ribosomal RNA", at positions 737 to 955 of the family's 1831-position model. Lineage: Eukaryota; Cercozoa; Glissomonadida; Viridiraptoridae. The record is from RNAcentral.
GAUUUCUGGCUUGGCGCGCCUUGUCCGCCAGCGUUAGCUGCGUGAGUACGGGGUCGCGCCUGCCAUCCUUCCAGAGAACGUCUCUACUCUUCAUUGAGCCGGAGGCGCAAUCUGGAUCUUUUACUUUGAAAAAAUUAGAGUGUUUAAAGCAGGCUUAUGCUAUGAAUACAUUAGCAUGGAAUAAUAAUUUAGGACUUCGGUUCUAUUUUGUUGGUUUCUAGGACUGAAGUAAUGAUUGAUAGGGAUAGUUGGGGGUGCUAGUAUUCAGCGGCCAGAGGUGAAAUUCUCGGAUUCGCUGAAGACUAACUUAUGCGAAAGCAUU